GGGGCUGGGAGUUCAUCAGGGAAAGAACGUCGCCGAAAUGCGCGCGGCUGUGCUAACGCGGCGAAGGUGCGGGUUCGACACCCGCCCGCCCCA
This 93-nucleotide transfer RNA is filed under the name Caudoviricetes sp. RNAcentral's name for it is "tRNA-OTHER". It matches the Rfam family "tRNA". Rfam says of the family: Transfer RNA (tRNA) molecules are approximately 80 nucleotides in length. Their secondary structure includes four short double-helical elements and three loops (D, anti-codon, and T loops). Further hydrogen bonds mediate the characteristic L-shaped molecular structure. tRNAs have two regions of fundamental functional importance: the anti-codon, which is responsible for specific mRNA codon recognition, and the 3' end, to which the tRNAs corresponding amino acid is attached (by aminoacyl-tRNA synthetases). tRNAs cope with the degeneracy of the genetic code in two manners: having more than one tRNA (with a specific anti-codon) for a particular amino acid; and 'wobble' base-pairing, i.e. permitting non-standard base-pairing at the 3rd anti-codon position. Lineage: Duplodnaviria; Heunggongvirae; Uroviricota; Caudoviricetes. The record is from RNAcentral.